Molecule: ribosomal RNA, 486 nt
Filed under: uncultured bacterium
Lineage: Bacteria
Description: partial 16S ribosomal RNA
Rfam family: Bacterial small subunit ribosomal RNA
Source: RNAcentral
AUUGAACGCUGGCGGCAUGCCUUACACAUGCAAGUCGAACGGCCGCACGGGUGCUUGCACCUGGUGGCGAGUGGCGAACGGGUGAGUAAUACAUCGGAACAUGUCCUGUAGUGGGGGAUAGUCCGGCGAAAGCCGGAUUAAUACCGCAUACGAUCUACGGCUGAAAGCGGGGGACCUUCGGGCCUCGCGCUAUAGCGUUGGCCGAUAGCUGAUUAGCUAGUUGGUGGGGUAAAGGCCUACCAAGGCGACGAUCAGUAGCUGGUAUGAGAGGACGACCAGCCACACUGGGACUGAGACACGGCCCAGACUCCUACGGGAGGCAGCAGUGGGGAAUUUUGGACAAUGGGCGAAAGCCUGAUCCAGCAAUGCCGCGUGUGUGAAGAAGGCCUUCGGGUUGUAAAGCACUUUUGUCCGGAAAGAAAUCCUUGGCUCUAAUACAGUCGGGGGAUGACGGUACCGGAAGAAUAAGCACCGGCUAACUACGUG